Long non-coding RNA from Papaver somniferum (opium poppy), 1200 nucleotides. RefSeq lists it as uncharacterized. The record is from RefSeq and is a predicted model, not a curated record. Lineage: Eukaryota; Viridiplantae; Streptophyta; Magnoliopsida; Ranunculales; Papaveraceae. The transcript is spliced from 5 exons.
UUCUCUCAGAAAAACCUAAAUUUUCCCAGUUUCAGAACUAUUUAUCUUUUUAUCCUUCACUUCACCAGAAAUUUCUUUACAUCAUUCGAUCGAGAAGAGCAUAGAAAAACCUAUCCAUCUACUAAAUCCCCGUAAACCAAAUCGAUAACCCUCCAUCCCCGAAUCUCUCUCCCAAUCUCUGCUCAAACAAAGAAGAUGUAGAUUAUGUUGAUGAAGAGGGAGAAAUGGUUUUCAGCAACAAAAGAUGAUGACUACAAGUAUGGAGAUGGAGAUGGAGAUUUUGUGAAAUAAUAAGACGGUAAGAACAACUAUUAGUCCUCUAUUUAGGUUUUGAACUCUGAACAUUGAAUUUUGAUUUUGAGGUUCUAGACUUGUUAUCUCAAUUGAAUUUUGACAAUCUAAGUCAAUUUAAUUUCAACAAAAUUAAAGGUAUUGAGUUUGUUAUAUAUGUGUACAAAAGUUAUGGUGACAAUUUCCUAACAAGUUAUGCCGGAACCUGUAACCUGUUUUGCAAUGCCUUAGCGAUUCGAAGAGACAGUAAUGAUUGUGAGCUUUUAUGGCAAGGCGAUGCGAUGAUGAUGGAGCUUAAAUGGAGGCUAAAUUUGUUAAACACUUACCUGUGCAUUGAUGGAAACUAAUUUAUAAAUGAUCUACAAAAUAGGAAUCGAUGAUGUUUUUGUAAAGACUGUGAUUGGGGUACUUCUGGAGCUCCAAAUUGGGUGAAAUGCCCAGCGGCGGUGUCUUUUGGUUCUGGAGGAGAACUUGUUUCAUAUAAAAAUAGUCAGUCAGCUACCAAUCCACCUACUGGAGGUUCCGAGGAUACAGGGAUUAUUCAACAUUCCCUUAACGUAUUGAUUUUUGAGUAACUGAGGGGAGCUGUUGGAAGUGUUUUUGUUGAUUUUACUACGCCACUCAGCAAUGCCGAAUAUAACUGCCUCAUUAAUGUUAUACUGGAUCCAAGUGGAAGUUAUACGAUGCAAUACUUUGGAGAUGUGUCACUAGGUCAUAUGAUUAUGAGGCAUAAAACUUCUGUAAUCCUAUAGGAGAGACUAAAUUAAAUGUAGAUUAAGUGGCAGUCAUAGUAGAUUGAUCUGUUCAGUGUGACUUUGAGUUGGAAAUGCAGGAUGAAUUUAUCCUUUUUUUGGUUGUAAUGUAAAACUUCGUCUUUUAAAUGCAAUGUAUACCAGAUUUCAGAUUCUA